UUCCAUCCAUGUGCACAUCUGUGGGUGCACUUUGCUCGCCUUGCCAGCAGCAUAAAUGAAGUUCGGCACAGUCAGGGGUGUUAUAAAGGCUCGCAGCACAGCUCCUACAUCUUAACUGAUUCAACUGCAGCUGAGCAAUGGCACGUCUUAUCUUCAUCUCGCUUUUACUUCUAACUACCAUGGUGUCCACAGCUUCAGCUGUGGAAUCUCAAGUUGCUGUCUCAAAAUCUCCAAUACUCGUGUUCCUCGAGAAUGGCUGAAGAGUUACUAUGACCAACAUUCACCAUCGUGUGCUCUUCAUGCUGUGGUAUUCACCACAAUUAAAAACAAAAGGAU
Long non-coding RNA from Cololabis saira (Pacific saury), 336 nucleotides. RefSeq lists it as uncharacterized. The record is from RefSeq and is a predicted model, not a curated record. NCBI's taxonomy places the organism in Eukaryota, Metazoa, Chordata, Actinopteri, Beloniformes, Belonidae. The transcript is spliced from 3 exons.